Oxyura jamaicensis (ruddy duck) is the source of this 452-nucleotide long non-coding RNA. RefSeq lists it as uncharacterized. NCBI's taxonomy places the organism in Eukaryota, Metazoa, Chordata, Aves, Anseriformes, Anatidae. The record is from RefSeq and is a predicted model, not a curated record. The transcript is spliced from 3 exons.
GAUAACAGACCCAUUAACAGGCUCGUCUAUAGAUUAAUCAUUCAAGGCUUAUGGAGACCUACAUUCAUCCACUAUAACAUAGUGGUGAAGAGUCAAUCUGGACAACCAUUGCAGGCUGUUCUUUCAUCUGAGCUGCCAGGCUGAAGUAACAGCUGAGAAGAGAAGUCUCCUAGGAGGAAAAACACUACCAAAUAGCUUGGCUAAUUCUGCCACUUCAAAACCUUUAAAAACUUCCUUACCUGAGGCAGCACUGGAUUUUAUAAGUAAUCUAGUUUUAGGAAGUGUGGUUCUGUGAGAAAGGGCCUCAUUAUGCCAUGUGCUGAGUAGGAGGCAAAGCUCCUGUCUAGCAGAGACUUUCUGUGUUUUUAAUGAUUAUCAGGUAUUCAGACCCUGAUUGUAAUCUUAAUAUAAAGCAAACCAUACUAGCAUUUCACACUAGAAGUUUUCAGAUA